Molecule: non-coding RNA, 72 nt
Organism: Phrynosoma platyrhinos (Desert horned lizard)
Lineage: Eukaryota; Metazoa; Chordata; Lepidosauria; Squamata; Phrynosomatidae
Source: the annotation of a GenBank genome assembly
GCCAGGAUGGUGCAGUGGUUUGAAUAUUGGACUAGGACUACAGGAGAUCAGGGUUCAAAUCCCAGCUUGAUA